This 36698-nucleotide long non-coding RNA is filed under the name Eucalyptus grandis. Its description in RNAcentral is "long non-coding RNA (EGRA_LNC004637)". The record is from RNAcentral. Lineage: Eukaryota; Viridiplantae; Streptophyta; Magnoliopsida; Myrtales; Myrtaceae.
UGAUCACGAAGUUCGUAACUUAUUUUGAUCGUCUUGUCACUCGUUGUUAUGCCAUUUGGCAAAUUAAAUCUGAGAGUAUGUCGCAUCAUGAGCACCUUUUGCCUAAGAGAGACAUUAAACAUGAUAUAGUGCAACAUAAUUAAGAUGUAUUACUGCACUUAAUUACUAUACAAUAACAGUGGAGCUUUUUAAGACAUCCAAAGUGCGAUAACCCUUAAGAGAAGGGUAUCGACGCUAAUCCCAGGUCUGCAGUAACUCUUAGGAUUAGCUAUAUAGAGUUAUACAUGUUGUCCACAAUACAUAUACAAAAUACGUAUUUCAUACUUAAUUGAACCUAGCUAAUGGGAGAGGAGAACGCCGUGGCAGUGGUGGCGUUGCCGCCAAGAAGUUCCUGCCGUGAAAAUCCACCAUUAGCAUGCCACCGUACGCUUUAGCCGCCUCAAAGCAGUCCAUGGGCUUCUGGGGAGGUGCUUGAGGAAUCAGGGGUUGCCUAGCCUUCUUCUUGGCGAUGCCCUCUUCUAACAUGGCGAAGGCUUCCUCUGCAAUUUUGGCAAGUUCGCGUGAAUGAGCCAUGAUAAGUGCUUGCUGCUCUGAUACCUCGUGCUAUCUAUGAGGCUGUGUUCUUUGUGCUGCUUCUGUGUGGUGAAGAACGAAACCCCCCUGGCCCUUUUUAUACCUCCGACUUCUCUGGAAAUAAGGCAAUAAUUCAAAAAGGAAAAGGCGAGGGUGAUGAAGAACCUGAAGAGAUAAGAGAUAAUAUGCAUUGGUUUUACCUUUCGGUGGCAAGCCACGUUUCGCAGAACAAAUUCGUUGAUAUCUAUCCGGUCUUCUUUAUGUGUUGAAGGGAACAAGACAUAGUCCUUCUGAUCUCAAGGGGUUACGUGCACGAGUGACGAAAGACAUGGGUAACGCGACCAUAUCAUCUUGUUUGUGGAGGGAAUAUAGGGGCAAGACUAACAAUUAUCCAUUGUAUGGACAGUCCAGACCUAGCAAUUUGUGGGUUGGGGUUUUUUUUUUUUUUUGGGGGGGGGGGGGGGGGGGGGGGGACCUCCUUUGGGCAUCUAAUUCUCUUAGGCAAUUUUCAAAUGGGAAAAGAUUCAUGCCCCCUCCAACAUGAGACGUCUCUUCUUUCUAGUACCGAGAAAAUGAGUAGUAAUGAGAACGAUUUCUAAAUACCAAACGCAUGGAUCAUAUUGAGUAUCAAGUAUUCAUUGCGACUUACGUCGAUUCAUGAUGAUGACUUGUGGAUUAGUCAUGGGUCGAAAGAAGCUUCUGCUCUCCAAUGUAAUCACUAAAUAACCUAACUGAUCAUAGUUUCACCUCUUGGAUUGCUUAUAUCAAACCACAAAGCUAUAUUAGAGUUGUGGAUAUUUUCUUAUGCUCAUCAUGGCUAUUCAUGCUCACUCAUCUAAUUCUCAUCGGGAUAAUUAACAUGUCAAGGCAGUAUUAUUCUCCCACUCAUCAGUGAGAUGAUGCUAUAGCAUAUGCUCUCUUUUUUCAUGACAAACUAUAUCUCUAUAUAGACNNNNNNNNNNNNNNNNNNNNNNNNNNNNNNNNNNNNNNNNNNNNNNNNNNNNNNNNNNNNNNNNNNNNNNNNNNNNNNNNNNNNNNNNNNNNNNNNNNNNGGGGGGGGGGGAGCGUGGUUUUUGGGAUGAGUCCAGGUUACGGUCUAAAACCUGGCCCGUGUCAUAAAUCGAAUCAUCCAAACCAUAAUAGAUCCUUUUUUAAAUUGGGUUGACCUUUUCUUUCUACCUCGUUCUUUUCUUCCAAAAACGAGCCAUUUAUUUAGGGUUUAAAUAUUUCACGUAAUAAAUAAAUUUACCGAAUCAGUAAGUAGACAAUUUACUUAUGAUAGCUUCUAAACAACUUAUUGCAAAUUAAUGAUAGCUUCUAAAUAAUUGCAGAACUAAUUUGCUGGAUGCAUAAUAUAACGAAUAACUAUAAAUUUACUGUUACAAUCCACGCAAUCAGAAAAGAUAAAAAUUUUAAACAAGACAGUCUAAAACCAUAUAUCAAUAAGAAGUGUCAUUGAAAAGUAAUAUUGUACCAAGUUUUCUAUCAUUUGCCUAGUUCUAAAAUAAUAUGACUUAUCUAGUCAAUUAGUUUAUUUAAAUACCAUCUGAAGUAGUUCUCUAAGCAAGUAGGCCCAUUUUGAGCACCCAACAAAAAUCAUUCAAAUCACUUAGCUAGCAAAUUUAAUGAAAGAAACUGCUGGGGCUCGCUCCAAUGGCCACUCUUCCAACAUAGAAAGGGGAGGUGGAAGGUUCGAAUCCCUAAUUUCUCGGGGGUUGGAGUGGGGAUGAUUUAAUUUCAAGUGUGGGUUUUGACUCCCAUACCAUGCAAUGAGGCAUGACAAAAAUUUGAAAAUGAGAGUAGAAAUAGGAGUAAGAGUAGAGUAAAAUCGACAAAAAAAAAAAAUUAAUAAAAGAGUUUUAGCAUAUCUAUUAUUAUUUAAAUUAGUCUCCGGUCAUUCAUCUAAUAUAGUGAAUUGUAUAAAUCACAUUUUUUUUGGGUUAUCAUGCAAUUAUGAUUAACAAGACUGAAAAUUGUAUAAGUUUGACCGUUCCAAAUUUCCAACUCCAAUUCAAGGAUAAUGGGAAAAUAUAUCGUUCAAGUGUUGGUCAUGUCAGGUUGGCUCGACCUAAUUCGAAAGUUUCUUCUCCUGGUAGAGUGGACUCGGUUGUUUUUGCGGAUUGGAAAGAAAAAAUCCAUACCUAUUCUUCCGAGCGAGAUUAGACAGGUUAUCGGUUUUGGGCUCAUUUUUGCCGGAUUUAAUGGACACCAUGCAACAAGAACAAUGGAAAAAGGUGAAAAAAGCAAGCGGAGAAGAAUAAAGAAAGUACAGGCAUCUCAAUUCAGAGCUAGCUUUAAGCUAUCCAAUCGCAUAAUAUUUGGUAUGCGAAAUGAUAGCUCAAUUAAAAAGGAAUCUCAUUUCAGGAACGUGAUUACUUGAAAUGGAAAUUUGUUUGAGCUUCCUUUCUCAUGAAACCAAAAGAGACCUAAAGUGAAUGACAACACUCCUCCUUUUAUUAGCUGAUUUGAAAGAAAAGAAUGAUAUGACGUUUCACGUCAUAAGUUUUGCCGGAUCAGCGUUCAGCUGGCAAAUUUCAUCUAUACCAAAUGAAUGACAUGGUACCCGAUUAAUUAAAUAACCACAUUAGGUUUAUUUAAAAAAAUUAAAUAUUUGGUAAACAAUUAAUACGCCAAAUUCAACAUCGAGCAAAUGUACAUGUACUUUUGUUAUUAUCACCCCAAUUGAAGGAAGACACAAUCAAAACAAGUUUCUACGAGAUAUUUAGAACUUAGAGGCAUGGUGGCUGUGUUAAAUUAUUGAAGUUUUCUUACAGAGAAUGGAAGAUUUUGGAAGCAUGUACGUACUUUAGUAUCUGGAUAAUCACUAAUACAAUGAUCCAAAUCCAUACAUAUUAAUGAGGCUGUUGUACUUUAGCUAGUACGUCCAUGAUGGGGUGCGAUUGGACCGCACCAAUUGGACUUGAUAUGCUACGAUGGAAAGGCACAAAUGGAGGGGUACGAAGGGAGACGUAUAUAAGCCUCCCGAACACAACCGUUGGAGUUGGUUGGCCAUUCAUUUGCACCAAAUAUCCUCUCAAUUUCCAUCGAAGAAGAUCAAGGCGUUCCAUUUCAUCUUUGCAAGAACAAUUCGCAUUUACACCGUGGAAAUCGGGUGUUUUCCUCGUGAUUGCAUCCAGACUAACGUGAGGUAGUGUUGUUCAUGAUUUCGUCGGCAAUUCAACGUUCGUUCCGGGGCUAUUUGCUGUUUGCGCAUCGGAAUCAGGUAAGUCGUCUUCCGCCGACUCGAAUUCCAACAUUGGUAUCAGAGCCCGAUCGUGAUUUCUGCCCUGUUUGUCAUCGAGUUUUCUCAUUUACCAUUUGAUAUUGAGAUCAAGAGAUAGUUUUCUACACUGCUUGGACCUCUGAUGGUCGGAAUUGCCCUAUGAAAAACUCGAAAUUGAACCGGAGCGAAGAACGAGUUAGGGGUCGUGUGCACCCGUGAGGUUUUGGCCCAUUUUCGAAAUGAUUUUUUGGUCAAAAUUAAUUUUUGAAUAUAUAGGGUGAAAGAACUCAUCGAGAUGAGUCCGGCGGUGGGUUGAGCGCCGCCAGGAGACGCCGGACGCGCCCACCUGUGCGGCCAGAAGCCGCUGCGCGUGGGCACCACGCGCCUAAAGCGUUGGCACAGUGAGCGCGUGUGCCACACGUGCCAGUCGACGAACCAGCACGUGCGCGACGCCCGCCCGCCGGCGAACCGGCGCAUGGUGACGUCACCCAACGGUCGGUAACCGCGGGGAUGACGUCAUCGAUGACGUCAGCGCCGGCGACAGUUGGCCGGCCGGCGACCCGACCCGACCCGUGAUUCGACCCGUUGACCCGACCCGACCGUUGACCGGUCAACCGGUCCGGUGGUCAAACCGGUCGGACCGGCCAAGAGCCGUUCGGCUCGCUGGCGCGUGCGCCACACGCGCCGCGCACUCAGGCGACGCGUGGGGGUGCCAUGCAAGCUCCGAUUGGAGCGUGGUUAGUGGCGUUUGGUUCGUAUGAGUGUUCUCUACACAGUGGUAUAAUUAUUUUAUACUUUUGAAUUUUAUAAAUGUAUGAAAAUGCUAAGGGAACCCUAUGUACGCGUAUUUUUUGGGGUUUAAUGCAGCUUAUUCAUUUGUAGCUUGUAUUUUCUUGUGAUUAGAGAAAUACAGUAGCUAGCUUAUGUGCAAAUGAUAUUAUAUAUAUGCUGUGUAGAGCUUGGUUCAAUGAUAUGAUGUAUAUAUUUUAAUAUACUUGCAAUUUUCUAGUCACUAGAAAAUUAGAACAAUGGUAGGAAAUCCAUUAUAUGUUGAAUUGCAAUCAUAGUUGAAGCAUGAUUGUUGUUUAUACGUUGGUUAUUAUCAUGCUAUAUUUUUGUGUUAAGGAAAAAUGUAGAAAUUACAUAAAGUCAUGUAAUUAUUUUUUUUCCUAGUGGGAGUUCGUAGGUUAGUAGAAUUUGAAAUAGUUCUCACCUAGAACUUAACAUUUGCGCAAAUUAAACUAAUUAAUGAUAAUAGAACAACUGUGCAUAGAAGUUGAUUGGGAACAUAGUGAACUUUUGAUUUUGUGUCUUUUGUUGAAUUAUCAUUAAUUUAGUUUGUCUUUGCUGCAAAUUAAAUGUGUGUUACUAUGUAUAGUGUGCUAGUAUUAAUUCUGCGUUUAUUAUGUCAAUGUGUUAUAGCAAUUGAUUAUGGCAUCGGCAUCCAAGACCAUUGUGGCUGACCUCAAUAAGGGUGAGAAGCUGAACGGUGACAAUUAUGAUAUUUGGCAUCGAAAGGUUCAGUACAUCCUUGAGGAGUAAGAGGUUUUGGAAACCCUCAACCAUACCAUGGAUGAACUUGAGCAUGGAACUUCAGCUCAACACAGGAGAGAUCCGGAAACUUAUCAAGCUUGGAAAAAGAAAAAUAGCAUUGCUCGCAUCACGUUGCUGAGCUGUAUGCAAGAUAAUCUCAUGUGUGAGUUUGAGAGUUAUGACAAAGCUCAAGCUAUGUGGGUUGCCUUGAAGGAUAAGUUUAGGGGUACAUCUGCCACUAAGCUGAGAAGACUCACCAUUAAGUUUGACACAUUCCGAAAGCGCCCAAGUGUAACGAUGAGGCAGCAUCUUCGAGAGAUGUCAAACAUGAUCCGUGAGCUGAAGUCGGCAGGUCACUCCCUUACUAAUGAACAGCAAGUUCAGGCUGUUAUAAGGUCUUCCUGAUAAUUGGGAGCAUAUGAAGAUCAAUAUGACGCAUAAUGAGAACAUCAUCACUUUUGAUGAUAUUGCGCAUCAUUUGGAAUUAGAGGAUGAGCGCCUAGAGGCUACGAGAUCCUCUACCCAUGCUUAUGUUGCUGAAUCGAGUUCGCGCAAGGCAUCGGGCUUCAAGCGCAAGAGGAAUCUUCAGUUCAACAACAAAAGGAAGAUGACUGAUCAGGGACCCAAGAGGGCUAAGACCUUCCUAUGCAAGAAGCGUGGUGGGAAGAAGGACAAGGCCAAGAUGGAGUGCCACAAUUGUGGCAAGCUGGGUCACUUUGCUCGUGAAUGCACUGAGCUGAAAAAGGUACCCUAUUACUCCAUUACUUCGAGUAAUGCUUUCAUUUCUAGUACUGUAAUGCUUGCUGAAUCUCAUCCUAUAUGGACUGUAAACUCAGGAGCAGCUAGAGACCGAGAAGCAUUUGUGGAGUAUCGUUGGAUACCGCCUGGAAGAAGAUGGAUAUAUGUUGGGAAUAACUCAAGAGUUGAAGUGAAGGGUAUCGGUACAUGUAAAUUAAUCUUACGUGAUGAUCGAAGCCUAUUCUUGCAUGAUAUCCUUUAUGCUCUAAAUAUUCGACGAAACUUGGUCUCUAUAGUUGUUCUUCUUAGCUUAGGUUAUGUAUUGAAUUUCCAUGGUGGUUGUGUUGACAUUUUGUAUGGAACAGUUUAUUAUGGUUCAGGUCAUGUAUCGAAUGAUUUUAUGGUGUUAGACAUUGACUAUGAUCAGUACAAUAUUAAUGUUGAUGAUUGUUUUUCUUUAAUUGCGUCUUCUAACAAUGUUGAGAUUGAUGCAAGUAUUUGGCAUGCUAGAUUAGGUCACAUUGGAUUGCAAAGAAUGCAAAGAUUAGCUAGAGAAGGCCUUUUAGGGUCACUCACUAAUGUUAGUCUAUCCGUAUGUGAACAUUGUCUGGUGGGAAAAACAACUAGAAAAUCAUUCGGUAAAGGGACCAGAGCUGAAUUUCCAUUGCAUCUCAUACAUUCUGACAUUUGUGGUCCUUUGAAUGUGAGGGCGAGGUAUGGAGCCUCAUAUUUCAUUAUUUUCAUAGAUGACUUCACACGUUUCGGUUAUAUCUUUCUGAUCCCACAUAAGUCAAAAGCAUUGGAUUGUUUUAGACGAUAUAUAGCGAUGGUAGAGAAUCAAUUGAAUAAAACAAUAAAGGCAUUGAGAACCAAUCGUGGACGUGAGUAUCUAUCAGAGCAAUUCAAUGCUCUUUGUGAUGAAAAGAGAAUUGUAAGACAAUUAACUAUUCCUAGUACUCCACAACAAAAUAUGGUAGCUGAGAGAAGGAAUAGAACCCUAUUGGAAAUGGUUAGGUCUAUGAUGGCGUAAGCAAAUUUACCUAUCUCCUAUUGGGGAGAUGCGUUAUUGACUGCUACCUAUAUACUUAACCAUGUGCCCUUAAAAUCGGUUACUUCCACCCCUUAUGAAUUAUGGACUGGUAGGAAACUAGACUUGAGUAGUCUACGUCAAUGGGGAUGUGCAGCUUAUGUUCAUGAUUCUUCCCAUAAACAUGGAAAAUUAGGUCAUAGAGGGAAGAAAUGUAUAUUUAUAAGAUAUUUCGAACACUCUGAAGGAUACGUGUCCAUAGGUGAACAAGCUGAUGGAAGUGUGACCGAAAUGGAGUCACGAAAUGUCAUGUUCUUGGAGAACGAUUUUCCUAAUAGAGGUGAGAUUGAUAAGGACUUCUAGUUAUAUGAGAUGGAAGAUCCUAAUAACACACCCACUGAUGUUGUAGAGGGAAAUUGAGAUUUACCUCAACAUACAAGACUUAGUGGGAGUGUUGCAUCGCCUGAUGAAUUGAAUUCAAGAGAAAUUCAAUUGCGUAAAAGUAAUCGUAAAAGUAUUCCCCAUUAUCGUUUUGAGAUUGAAGGGGAAGCAUUUAUGAUUGCUCAAAAGGACGAUGCCAAGCCUAAGACUGUUCAAGAGGCUCUCUCAUCCUCUAACAAGGAAGAAUUGAGAAAAGUUUUGGAAGAUGAGAUGGAGUCAAUGAGGGCAAACCAUGUCUGGGACUUGGUUAAUCUACCACCCAAUCGUAAGGCCAUUGGAAACAAAUGGGUCUUCAAGAUUAAGCGUAGGGUGGAUGGAUUCAUUGAAAAGUAUAAGGCUUGCCUUGUGGCAAAAGGUUAUACUCAACAAGAGGGUAUAUAUUAUGAGGAAACUUUUUCACCAGUUGUAAGGUUUGCCUCAAUAUGCCUUAUUCUAGCCAUCGUUGCACAUUUAGACCUUGAAUUACAUCAAAUGGAUGUAAAGACGGCAUUUCUCAAUGGAGAAUUAGAUGAGAAAAUCUAUAUGAAACAACCAAUAUGUUUCAUAGCUAAAGGUCAAGAGCAUAAAAUUUGCAAGCUUCAUCGCUCAAUAUAUGGCCUUAAGCAAUCAUCUAGACAAUGGUAUCUUCGUUUUCAUCGAGCAAUAAUAAUUUUUGGUUUCACGAUGAUCGAAUAAGAUCACUGUGUAUAUGUCAAGUGGUUCAAAGAUAAAUUUGUGAUUUUAUCACUUUAUGUGGACGAUAUUCUGUUGGUUGGAAAUGACAAGGUUUUGGUUAUCACCAUAAAAGAAUGGUUGUCCUCCAAUUUUGAGAUGAAGGACAUGGGAGAAGCUGCUUAUAUAUUAGGAGUUAAGAUCGAAAGAGAUCAAUCAAGGAAACUCCUUACUUUAUCACAAGAGUCUUAUAUUAUGAAGAUUCUUGAGCGUUUCAAUAUGCAGCAUUGUAAUCCCAUUGAUACCCCUGUCAUGCAAAGUGAAGGCCUAAGUACUGAAAUGUGUCCUAAGACUCCAGAAGAAAUUAAAAUGAUGAAAACUGUUCCUUAAGCUAGUGCGAUCGGAAGUUUGAUGUAUGCUAUGAUGUGUACUCGACCCGACAUAUGUUAUGCCGUGGGAUUGGUGAGCCGAUAUCAAUCAAAUCCUAGUCAAGCACACUGGAAAGUAGUGAAGAGGAUAUGAGAUACUUGAAGGGCACCAUGGACUAUCGACUUUGUUACCAAGGGAAUGAUUUACGCCUAUUGGGUUAUUCAGAUGCCGAUUGGGGUGGAGACCUGAAUGAGCGUAAAUCGACUUCUGGAUAUGCGUUCUUGCUCAAUGGAGGUGCGAUUUCUUGGAAUAGCAAGAAACAGACAUGCACGGCCUUGUCUACGAUGGAGACAGAAUUUAUUGCAUGUUCUGCCGCAGUGCAAGAAGCAGUAUGGCUAAAACGUUUCUUGGAAAAUUUAGCCAAUGUCACUGAAGUUCCAAGACCGGUGACAGUUUAUUGCGAUAGUCAAGCUGCCAUUGCCUAUGUGAAAGAUCCCAAGUAUUAUGGAAUGACAAAGCACAUUGACAUAAAGAAUAACUUCAUCAGAGAUAUUAUAGCAUAGAAAGAAGUGAUCCUGCAAUACAUUUCAACCAAUAGAAUGGUUGCUGAUCCAUUUACGAAGGCUAUUCCUAGAGACAUAUUCUUGACCCAUAGGAUGUCACUAAGAUUACAUAGAAUGUGAUAUUUGUUAUUGUAGAGGAUCAUUGGUUUAUGUAUUUGUGGACAGAUGUAUUGUACUUGUUUGUUUAUUAGUGAUUUGAUGUUUUAUUAAUAAGUACAAAUCCACUAUGAGACUAGCACAAACACACAUUAUUGAAAAGUAUGUCAACAGGCAAUGAUUGGCUCACUUACACGAGCAAUCGCCUCAAGUGCUGUAGUUAGCACGUUGAGAUAAGACGUUAUGUACAAAUAAAUGCUAAAGAGCAAGUUUGGUAUAUAAAAUAUGUCGCCUUGAUUGGAGUCAAGAUGAGGUCUGUGAUUGGUUUAUAACAAGACCAAACAUGAUAGUCCCACAAUCAUGUAUGCCUGUAAGAUGCCGGAUGCGAGUACUUAAUUGGGUGCUAUAGAAAGCGAGCUGAUAUAGCACUCGGGCUAAACAUGAGUACGUGAGAAGCACGUGACUAUGUUUAGGCUAAGAUUUGUAUGGUGGAUAUAUUUGAUGAUUGACAUACGCUCUUAUAGAAAGAGUAAUCCACUAUAGCAUGUAAUUCGUACUACAUGUGCACUGUACGAUCGACAAGGAAAUGUGAGUAAAAUUAUCCAUAUUUACUCAUCGUGUGAGCUUUUGAGGUAAUUUAUAAUUUACCCCAACUUUGUGCCCUAUGUUACUUCUGACUAUGUUCUCGAAGUGAAAUAUCAAUGUUGCUACUUUAGCAUGUUACGGGCGGUCAUGAAUAGAUAUGGCCUAUGGGACAUGUCUAAGAAAGCAGUUGUUCUGAAAUUGAGAGAGACAUGAGUGCGAAGGAAGACUAUUGUUGUUUUACAUCUAUCGCAUGUAUUUAUUAAUCGACCAAUUAUAUCGCCAUAUGUGGUUGCGGAUGUAAUUAUAAAUAUAUGGUGUUUUGAGAAUAGUCAAGUAUAGCCUUUAAGGGAUAGGUAUACUUGGAUUGAUGUAACAAAAUAUGUCUGGGGUACUGUGAGACAUCGAUUGUUUAUUUCUAUUCGGGGUUGUAGCCAUUAUGUUAUCCCUAACAGGUACAUAAUUUGAGCUCCCAAGUGCAGGUGUACUCACUGGUCGCACGGCUUAUUUGCUAGUAUGAAUUGUUUUGUAAAAUUGAUGAAUGUUAAAUGCCUUAUAUUCUUGAUAGAGAGCUAUCAAGCCCAUCAUGUCCGAGUGGGAGAUGUUGUACUUUAGCUAGUUAGCUAGUACGUCCAUGAUGGGGUGCGAUUGGACCGCACCAAUUGGACUUGAUAUGCUACGAUGGAAAGGCACAAAUGGAGGGGUACGAAGGGAGACGUAUAUAAGCCUCCCGAACACAACCGUUGGAGUUGGUUGGCCAUUCAUUUGCACCAAAUAUCCUCUCCAUUUCCAUCGAAGAAGAUCAAGGCGUUCCAUUUCAUCUUUGCAAGAACAAUCCGCAUUUACGCCGUGGAAAUCGGGUGUUUUCCUCGUGAUUCCAUUCAGACUAACGUGAGGUAGUGUUGUUCGUGAUUUCGUCGGCAAUUCAAUGUUCGUUCCGGGGCUAUUUGCUGUUUGCGCAUCGGAAUCAGGUAAGUCGUCUUCCGCCGACUCGAAUUCCAACAGAGGCAUAUAAUCAAAGUGUAUUGGAAUGCACUUUUGGCGUUAGUGUGUAUGACUGCACUCACCUGCCCAACACGUGCAAUCACAUGACUUUGUUUAGGGAUGGAUCCACGGAACCGGAGAUAUACGUGCAUGGUCUGAUUAGAGUGUGCUCGGUAGCAUGGCCAUUCCUAGAUCAGGUGGAUCCACGCGACUCUCACCCAAUACAAGGGUGCUCACAUGCACCCGAACCAACCAAGAUUUUUUCUACGGGCUGGAUCCAAAGGCCCAAAGUGGCCGAGUGAAUUUCUAUCUGGGGCCGACCAAAAAAAUUCCCUCUGCGGAUCCAGUUCUCUUUUAGAAAGCUCAAGGAUAGCUGGAGGAAUAAGGGAUAAUGCGCGUGCAGAUUCUCUUGCUCUGCCUUUUCUUGAUGGGCUCCACGAAGCGCACUUUGUGUUUUUGGCUUGGGAAAUAUCUCAAAUGUGGAUAUGGUAGAUCAUGCGGGAUAGGGAUGAUGUCGCAAUCGAAGUUCAGUGUUCCGGUGUUUUAAGACUUUCUUAACCAAACCAAUAUCUGACCUUUUAUUCCGCAAAAUCAUGUCCAAAAUGGAUCGGGCAGCUACAGUUUUCAACAUGAAAUCUUUAGCUCCUCGCCUCAGUCAUUCCAUGUCCAAUGCUGGACAAAGAAAUUAUCUAUCAUUGAAGAAUAGUUGAGCUUGUGGGAGACAUUUUCUGCAAAAUCAAAAUUCAAAUUGACUCAAAAUCCCCCCUCCUUAGAGAACUUUUUGAGUAACUCAGAUCGAUUGAAUUGCCAUUGAUUUUAUUUUAUUUUUUUGCUACGGCCAGUUAUGUUUGGACAGCUAAUGCUAACAGUUCGGUGGUACCAGAAAGUUGUCCUUCACUGGAUGCCUGUGAUUGGAGCCUCUUUCCUUUUUGAGUUUCGAAAUAAUGUUCUCCUUGGAUCCACUUUUCCCAUGAAUUUGUAAAAAACUUUAGAUGAAUGACUCGUUUGAUCCAACAAACGCAUUGUUUUAUGAAAGAUUCCAAAUAGCUUGGUUUUUACGUUUUUUAAAUAAUUUGCGAUUCUUCGUUCUCGAUGUAUUCCUUAUAAUUUUAGGAUUUGAGUAUGUUGUCUUCUAGAAAAACAUCACAUAACUUUUUGCUAACUCAAGUUGUGAGCCAAAAAAAGAGAUCUCUUUUAAAUAAUGCGGUGUGUACUACACGUGCCAUAUCCGUCUUGGCAAUCUUGCUUCGAGUGUGAAAUAUGAUUGGAUAAUUUCUCAUUCUCCACAAAUUCACAAGGUUUGAACUUUUGAAAGAAUUGUUGAUGAGAUAAUUAAAUCAAUGUCCCUCCUUUGGAUCUGGCACAUCAGGGGAGCUUCGCGCACUAGGCAGCCCCCACCUAUUAUUUGAAACAAUGAUGAUUUUGAAAUGCUCAACAAGUGAGACAAAAUUCAACUAUUUAUAUAUGAGAUUGCAUAUAGAUUUAGAUCAAGGAACUAUGGGAUGCGCAUGAUUAGUGGAUAUUAUGGAUGGUGGACACGGAUUAUGAGUAGAUCAUAGAAAUAGAUAUCGGAGGUACAUCGUAGGCUGCAGAUAGGAUAAGAUUUAUUUGGUGCAUGCAUGUCCAUGGACGCGUCACCGACUCUUUCACCUGCCACAUGGAAAACUGCCAAGGUUAGAUAGAUUAGAUGUUCAGAUGGGGGAACUUUGCGUCUUUUUAUGCAUUCAAAAGUCAAAUGAUGAUGGAUGGAUUCCCAAUUUUGUACUGAUACAGUGAUGCACUUAUUGGGGGGUUUUGUUAUUUUACUCUGAUCUUGGGAAAGCGUGGAUUAGAGUAAGUCUUUGGAUCUCCCAUGGUAAGUAAUUCGCAUUUUAAAUUCUUAAGAGACUCUCGUAUAGUUGCAUUCACUUGCAAUGAACAUAUCGAUACAUCACCCAGGCUCUCCCUAUGAUUUCUGUUUUUGAAAAAACUGGAUAUUAAUUAAUUAGUUAUGUGUACAUCAUACAAGAUGUGCAUAUGCAUUUGGCGCCCGUAAUUUACCCACACUAAUCUCAUAAAUUAUGACCGAUAAAGAAAAUCUCAUAAUAUUCCUUUUCCAAAAAUGCAAGCAAAAACUCCAAUGUAUUUUGAUGGAACGACUUAAAAAGGAGGGAGAUUUUGAAGAGUUUUUCAGUGGUAUGGUAUUGAGCAAAACUAGUGGGAAGAGGGUAUUGACGGACCAGAAGGGAGGUCAUGGUAGACUUGUCAUGGGUAAAAUGACUAAUAUUCUACAUGAAGAAGAGGUUGGAAGACUGAAUUGGCACGCCUGAGUAAGGCAUCCAGGUGCCAAACUUGACCCGGCCAGAUGUGGUCCAAGGCAGCCUACCUUGCCCGAAAAAGAUGAUUUAUAUUCUAUUUUAUAUGAUAGGCGGGCUAGCCACCAAGUCAAGGUGUAUCACGAGUCUUUUAACGGGACCCGCUCGGUGAUCAUCUAGGCGUUGCCGGCUUAGGUCCCAAAAGUUUGUCACUGACCGUUGAAAAUAUUGGAGAGUUGCAAUGCACUUGAUUUUAGUUAGAAAUCCUUGAUGGUUCUUGUUCCUCUCUUACCAAAAAUCGUUGAUCCAUAAGUCAGUUGGGUCUUUGGCCUAGCUUCACCGAUUCCUUCACAUUUCUCUCCUAAGCAUAAGGAUAAGGUGACAUUAAACAAAUUCAUGAUACUGCCAAAUCAUGAAAACCAGACGAAGUCCUGGACUCCUCGUCAUUUGACAAGCGGGAGCACAAAGAAAGGCUCCCAUCAUGUAACGAUGGGCUGGAAUCAUGCAAAGAAGCGGAUAAUAUAGAUUACUAAAGUAAGUAAGAAUUCAUUUGGAAAGAAAUUAAAAUAAUCGAAAGGCAAGUAGGAUGAUUACCAAAGGAAUAAAACAGACAACGAUGUUAAGGACAGCAUCGAUGUUCAACCAAGUGAGAGAAGCAAGUCGGCCUCAAAUUGCUUAUGAACCUCCCAUUUGUUUGUCGAUUGUCGCGAUUUGCUUUAUGUGUGUUUGGCGUUUCAAAGAACUUGUAUAUGAUCUUAAGCAUGGCCAGCAGAUACGGCCGUUGAUGUGGAAACCUCAAGUUUGGAUUUAUGUCUCUCAUUUCAUAAAUUUUAGGAUUUUAGGUUUACUUGAUUCUUUAAUUAAGUUAGUUUAGGAUUUUCAUUUGGUAUAGAGUGUUUUAUUCUGUUAUUUCCAUUAUGUUGAGCUUUUAAAUUUGUGAAGGCAUCUCAUCUUUGAUUGAAAGAUGUCCUAAUGAUUCUUAGGGUUAAGUUAUACGCACAAUAAUAUGCGCUUUACCUUCAUUUAAUUCAUUUAUCUCUUGUAUAGAUAAGAUUUCUCUUUGUGCGUUUCAUGUGUGUGCUCUACGUCUGUGAGUUGAGACUUGCGCUUUUCGUUUUCACCGUAUCAAUUGGUACAAUAGCAUGGUAGAUAAUGGGGAUGCAAUGUCCGGAAACAACAGAAAUAGCGACAACCAUCCUGCCAACAAAGAUUAGAGGCACAGGCUUUAUGAAGCGUUGUUCUUCGUCUAAAAGCAUCUCAAUAGAACGUGGAGCAAAAGAUCGGUGGAAUGUCGUGGACAAAGAACACGAUUGCAAAUUGACUUGUUGUUUUAGACCUAGAGAGAAAGCUGAGUAUGGACAAAAUAAUGGUCCCGGUGUGUAAUCGAGCUUGGGGCCAACCGUUUGAUGAUCCUAUAUAAGUUAGCCUAAAUUAUUGGCGUUCAGUUUAUUCGAAAACUAUGGAUUCAAGUGAAGAGGAUUUUAGAACGCUUGGAGGAUGUAACUAGUAUAAUGACGCACGGACCCCUGGAGUGCCUUAACUUUGGCCAAAUGAACACUUAAAUGCCAUAACUUACGAAAGGUACACUUAAGUGCCAAAAUCGGAGUAAAAGAGAUCACUUGAGUGCCAAUCCGGCCAAAAUCCGACCAAAAUAUCGACGUGGCACUUUUCCGGCGAACCGAGCCCAAAACAAUGCCAUUUUGCACACUGACAUGGCCAAAACGGCGUCAUUUUGGGAUGACGUGGCAAAAAAUAAAAUAAAAUAAUUAAUUAAAUUAAAUUUAUUUAAAAUAUUUAAAAUUAAUAAUUUUAAAAUUAAAUUUAGUUAAAAUAUUUAAAAUUAAUAAUUUGAAAAUUAAAUUCAGUUGAAAUAUUAAAAAAUUAAUAAUUUUAAAAAAAAAAAAGGAAAGGGGGGGAGGGAUUAGCCCUCAGCUGCUACCGCCGCCGCCGGGAAGGGCCGGCAACGGCGGGGGGAGGGUCGGCCGACCGGCGGCGAGGGCUCAUGAGCCCUCGCCCCAGAUCGGGGGGAGGGCCGCGAGCCCUUGCCACAGAUUUGAGGAUGGUCGCGACUCUCGCCCAGAUCCGGCGAGGGCUUGCGAGCCCUCACGACUCUCGCCCAGAUCCGGCGAGGGCUUGCGAGCCCUCACUGCCAGUCGGUCGGGGUUGCUGGGCCCUGGCCAGGGGCCGGCGACCCCAGCCGACCCUCCCCCCGCCGUCGCCGGCCCCUUCCCGACAGCAGCAGGCAGCCCCUCUUUCCUUUUUUUUUUAAUCCCUCAACCGCCUCCCCCUCUUUCCUUUUUUUUUUAAUUUUUUUUUUAAAUUUUUAAUUAUUAAUUUUAAAUAUUUUAACUAAAUUUAAUUUUAAAAUUAUUAUUUUUAAAUAUUUUAACUAAAUUUAAUUUAAUUAAUUUUUGAUUUUUUUUUACCACGUUAGCCCAAAACGACGCCGUUUUGGCCACAUCAGCGUGCAAAACGACGUCGUUUUGGGCGCGCUUCGCCGGAAAAACGCCACGUUGGCGUUUUGGCCGGACUUUGGCCGAAGUGACACUCAAGUGAUCCGUUUUUCUUCGAAUGUGGCACUUAAGUGUACCUUUCGUAAGUUAUGGCACUUAAGUGUCCCUUUGGCCAAAGUUAUGGCACUUGAAGCGUUCUUUUGCCCUAGUAUGAUGGUUGCCACAAAAGGUGCAGAUUACGAGCAGGCAGUGUUUAAAGCUUGUAACUCAUCUACUAUUGUUACUAAAGAGGACUAAUGCUAGCUCCUCGAUGUGUGUGAGGUUUAGAAAGGAAAGCAAUGAUAGAGUAACAAAUGAAGACGAAGAGAAGGUUGGCUUGUCCUAGUGGAACAACAGACGAAGACGAGGGAAUGUCCGCCGGUCUAGAAUUUGCAUAUCAGGCAAACAUGUCAAAAGCCGUGGUUGUAUCACUAGAAGGACUUGCAUCAAAAUUAGAAGAUAACAAUUUUGGAGAGGAUGAUUCAUAAGUGGAUAGAGGUAUAAGAUCUUCUAAGAAUCUAUUCACAAAAGAGAUGAUUGGAAGGGGUGAAGAUAUUAAUAGAUGACUGGAAGGGGUGAAGAGAUAAGAAUAUCUUGUGUUCUCAAAAUAUAAAUAUCUAAACGCACAAAGACGACUAGAGAUAGGAUUCCAUCAUAUAUACCGUUUGUGCUUAAUGUCAUACCCAAGGAAGGAGAAAAUAUUCAGUGGUUAGCAAUCACCACGUCAUCGUCUUACGUGGCGCGCACAAGCUUAAGUGGCUCCACUAACAAGUUCACACGUGUCGUUGAAUUUGGACUAACCGGAAAAUAUAGAAGUAAAAAGUCGGAGGGUUUCUUUUUCUCUCUCCCCCUAACAACCGGUUGAAAAUAGGCUUUGCAGAAGCAAUUAAUAAUGCUUUUGCCGCUCAAAACCUCUCUCCUCAUUUCAAUUUUCAAGCCUUCUCCUUCGUUGGGUUGAGAGGAAAAAAAGAAGAUAUCUUCUCUCUUUCUCCGGCACGCCCGACCGCUCCAUCUCCCCCUCCUCCCCCCUGCUCCUUCCCCUUCCCCUUCCCCAAAGCCCCCGUCGGUCGCAAAUGCUAUUCAGAUCUGCCCUCUGGCACGUCGCUUCCCCCAAGAAUCCCACUCAGUCAUAGCUGCUUGGUCCCGAGCCCGUUCGCCUCUGCCGUCACCUUCGGAGCCUCAUCGGCGGCUAUGAUUCAUCAGCCGACUCCUCUCUCUCUCUCUCUCUCUCUCUCUCUCUCCCCCCCCCAUAUCACCUACGAUUGCGCCAGUCUCUUGGGAACCUGAUGGCGUCCACUGUGGUCGGAGCCAUGGACUGAAGCUCAGGUUCAACUUCGGUGUCGUCACUGUCGUUGCCUUUCCGGCGUCGGCUCUAGAAACCGUGACUAACUCGGUUGUGAUUUUGGGUUGAAGCGGAAGCGGAAGAAGCUUGCGAUUGCUGGGUCCUGAACCCUCCGCCUUCACAUGAUGCUUGCUUCAUUUGUCGCCUUCCUCGCUUUUCCAACGCCGCCGAUAGAAACCGCGCGAGGCUCGGUUUUGAUUUCGGGCUUAGGCGCAUCGCCACUGAAGCGGAAGAAGUUUGCAACUGCUGGGUCCCAAGCCCUCUCGACCUUCACAUGCCACUCGCUUCGUUCGUCGCCGUCAUCGCCUCUCUAGCGUUGGUUCUGCACAUUUUCUGAAUGCUUGGUUAACUAAUUAUUAGUUAGUCUUUGUCAAAUUCUGGUGCUGUGUAGUUGUUGGCUUUGGAAAGAAGAGAGGCCCCCACUCGCAUGAGAAAUGAACUUCGUGUGAGCCAAAAGAGAGGAGCUGUGUAGCGGUCUGCAAAGAUGGGCUUUUUGGUUUUUUGUUUCUUCAUUGGGAUAUUGUGCUUUUAAAUUUGGGGUUUGAUUGCAUACUCCGGUUUUGGUGACUUCAAACAUAUUGGAUCAUGUUGAGGUUUUGCCUACCCACUCAGCUACAGAUAAUGUAGUUUUGUUCCCUUCUGAUAAUCAAGUUAUUGAUUUUCGAUGGCUGAGCUUUCUUCUUACGCUUUUUUGCUGCGGUACUUUUACUUAAAUUGUAUGCGUUAUGUGGUCUCCGUGUUUUGAUUGGUUCUCAUUCCAUUCCACAAGAAAUAUGUAUGUGAAGAAAGAUGGGAUGUCUGUGGGGAUGGCGAAUGAUGAUUCGCCCUUGGUAAUGACUGAUGUCUGGCAAAACCCAUAUGAGUUUCAUUAUCAAUUGAAGUUGAAGUCUAUUCAGUCAUAUGGCCUUUCAACUUUGAAUGUACCCAGAUGAUGAUGAUGAUGGUAGCUGGCAAGUGUAGCUUGUUAGGUUAGGUGUUGGGCAUAUCACAUGCCUGCAUGUGGAAUCUAGGCAUGCCGAGGGGUUGAAUUUGUGGUCUUUAAAGUUGAGUUGGAACGCCGGUUGAGGUUGUUUUACAGUGCACAAUUUGGCAAAAACUAAUCACCUAAUUCAAAUCCCUCAGGUAAAAUAAGAACAGCCCCCACAUUCAAACCUCCCCUUUUACCAUUAGCAAAAAUAGGAUGAAUUGAGACGGUAUUUUGUAAAUACGUAAUUAUCUUGAAUAACAGUUACAUCUUUCCAGCUAUUGGGACACCAUAUGAGUACCCCCUCUUUGGGAAAUAUUUGCAAUUGUUCGAACCUCGUGGCCGCAAGGUGGGCGGCAAAAAUAGUUCCAAUCUCAGAUGGAUGAAUCAGCUUCUGGUGUCCAAGAGCCUUUUAAAUUGAGAAGUAACUACAUCGGACUUGUCCCCCUCAAGGAAUGAAACAGACUUUUGCUUAGGAACAUUUUCAGUGAUUGUUUACAUAAUCUCGUUGAAUAAAUUCUCAGUUGUUUUCUCAGGCAUUGUUCCCGGGAUUCAAUGAAGCAAACCUUUUGAACAUUUAGUUCAUGCAAGAGUAUGCGUAAGUCUUAAUCCUUAUGAGAUGUUCGGAAGCAAAAUCAAGCGAAGAUGACGCACAACUUUGUUAACUCAUUCCUGAAGUUGAUUUUAUAUGCAGAGGCAACCCUGUUCACAUUAUAAACCAGCCAAACAGCCAAAAAAAAAUUCGACGAUUGAAAAUCUUGACCAGCAACUGCACCAUAUCGACAGUUGCACCAUAUUGAUUCUGAAGCACCGUGGUGCUGCAUUAUGUUUAAAUUUCUGGAAUUCCACAUAACUGAACCUUUAAACCUAAACAUCGGAUUCACCGAUUGUAUAAUUUGAAAAAAAUAAUAAUCAUGGCCAUGAGCCGACACCAGAGCAGCUUAGAUGGUCUUAGGACUCAUAGCAGUAAAUUAAAUUCCAACGUCAUGCACGGCACAUAUUGGCAUCAACGUGCAGCAAAAGCGACCAUCAAUAACAAGAAUCAACGUGUUCUUGCCAAAAUGCUUGCAGAAGAUGCCAUUGUAGUGCCCUAUUUUUGGACAGCAGACUCCUACACAAGCCGUUAGCAUACACCACACUCAGUCUUGGCCGAUCAAUUCUAUAUGCCAAAAAAACACGGAGACCACAUAACGCAUACAAUUUAAGUAAAAGUACCGCAGCAAAAAAGCGUAAGAAGAAAGCUCAGCCAUCGAAAAUCAAUAACUUGAUUAUCAGAAGGGAACAAAACUACAUUAUCUGUAGCUGAGUGGGUAGGCAAAACCUCAACAUGAUCCAGUAUGUUUGAAGUCACCAAAACCGGAGUAUGCAAUCAAACCCCAAAUUUAAAAGCACAAUAUCCCAAUGAAGAAACAAAAAACCAAAAAGCCCAUCUUUGCAGACCCCUACACAGCUCCUCUCUUUUGGCUCACACGAAGUUCAUUUCUCAUGCGAGUGGGGGCCUCUCUUCUUUCCAAAGCCAACAACUACACAGCACCAGAAUUUGACAAAGACUAACUAAUAAUUAGUUAACCAAGCAUUCAGAAAAUGUGCAGAACCAACGCUAGAGAGGCGACGACGGCGACGAACGAAGCGAGUGGCAUGUGAAGGUCGAGAGGGCUUGGGACCCAGAAGUUGCAAACUUCUUCUGCUUCAGUGGCGAUGCGCCUGAGCCCAAAAUCAAAACCGAGCCUCGCGUGGUUUCUAUCGGCGGCGUUGGAAAAGCGAGGAAGGCGACAAAUGAAGCGAGCAGCAUGUGAAGGCGGAGGGCUCAGGACCCAGCAAUCGCAAGCUUCUUCCGCUUCCGCUUCAACCCAAAAUCACAACCGAGUUAGUCACGAUUUCUAGAGCCGACGCCGGAAAGGCAACGACAGUGACGACACUGAAGUUGAACCUGAGCUUCGGUCCAUGGCUCCGACCACAGUGGACGCCAUCAGGUUCCCAAGAGACUAGCGCAAGCGUAGGUGAUAUGGGGGGGGAGAGAGAGAGAGAGAGAGAGAGAGAGAGAGAGAGAGAGAGGAGUCGGCUGAUGAAUCAUAGCCGCUGAUGAGGCUCCGAAGGUGACGGCGGAGGCAAACGGGCUCGGGACCCAGCAGCUGCGACUGAGUGGGAGUCUUGGGGGAAGCGACGUGCCAAAGGGCAGAUCUGAAUAGCAUUUGCAACCAAUGGGGGCUCUGGGGAAGGGGAAGGGGAAGAAGCAGGGGGGAGGAGGAGGGGGAGAUGGAGCGGUCGGGCAUGCCGGAGAAAGAGAGAAGAUAUCUUCUUUUUUUCCUCUCAACCCAACGAAGGAGAAGGCUUGAAAAUUGAAAUGAGGAGAGAGGUUUUGAGUGGCAAAAGCAUUAUUAAUUGCUUAUGCAGAGCCUCUUUUCAGCCGGUUGUCAGGGGGAGAGAGAAAAAGAAACCCUCCGACUUUUUACUUCUCUAUUUUCCAGUUAGUCCAAAUUCAACGACACGUGUGAACUUGUUAGUGGAGCCACUUAAGCUUGUGCGCGCCACGUAGGACGAUGAUGUGGUGAUUGCUAACCACUGAAUAUUUUCUCCCAAGGAAGGGACAUAAACAAGCACAAGGUUCCAACUUUGUGCAUUCUUGAUGAGGAAGAAUAUUAUUGGGGACAUUACCAUAUAAGCGUUCACAAGGAGAAAUGUUACCUAUAAUAGGUGACCGAGUACGAUUGAGAGUGUAUUUUAGUCAAGCCUCUUCCAAUAAAAAAAACUAUUAUAGACAAGAGGCGGAAACUAAAAGAGUACUUUGUAAUAUCCAAAAUAUGCUUAUGUUUACAUUUUGCUCAACCAUUUUGUUGGGAAGUGUUUGGACAAAAAGAUGAAUGAUAGUACCAUUUCUAGAGAGAAUUCUAAGAAAUUCGUUGUCUCUAUAUUAUGUGGCAUUAUCAGUUAAAAAAAACUUGAUAUUUUCAGAAAAUGUGUUUUUUUCAUGACAAUAAAAUCGCAAUAGAUAAAAAUAGGUUCAAAUGAUUUUUUGUAUGAUAGAGCCUAGUAUGACGAAAAGGAUCAUCCACAAAGAUUACAUAAUAACAAAAGCUUUGAUUACAUAAUAGCAAAAGAAAUGUUACCUUUGAUAAGUGACAGAGUGUAGUUGAUAGUGUAUGUUAGGCAAGCCUCUUAAAAGAAAAAAAAAAAACUAUUCUAGACAAGAGGUGGAAACUAAAAGAGUACUUGUAACAUCUAAAAUAUGCCUAUGUAUACAUUCUGCUUGACCCUUUUGUUGGGAAGUGCUUGAACAAAAACGAUAAAUGAUAAUCCUUUUUUGGGAGAGAAUUCUAAGAAAUUCGAUGUCUCUAUAUUCCGUGGCAUUAUUAGUAAAUAUUCAAGAAAAUUGUGUUUUUAUCAUGGCAACAAAAUUGUGGUAAAUACAAGUAGAUUCAAAUUGAUUUUUCAUAUGAUAAAGCAUGAUAUUAUGAGAAUGAUCAUCCACAAAUAUUAAUAUAAUAGCAAAUGCCUCUCAUAGUGGGGAUUGGAGAUGAUCUCCAAAUAAUAGAAUAAAUUGGAUAAAAUAAGAGCAUGAGAGAUAAAUUCACUAAGAGAAAAUGGCAAGCCUGGGGAUGAGUAUGGUCCAGGUUAAGCAGCUCCACCCCCUAACCUUAAGACCAACUCGCACAGUACUGGUCAUCAAUUUAAGACCAAUGAUCAAUCCUAAUGAGCCAAGGAUCAAACUGACCUAAUGGGUUCGAUAUGAUUCCAAGAUCAACUUGAAACCAACCGAUAAUUUUUUUUAUUUCAUUUUUUUUAUUUCUGAAAAAAAAAUUACUAUUUCAAAUUACAUAUCCAUUAAUAAUGUGGCGUUGUGCAAUCAAAUUAUAAAUACCAGUACAUAUUCAACAAAUUUAAGAUAAGGCAACAAUAAAAAUUUCACACCUGUUAAAACCAAGAACCAUAAAAACGAUUAAGACCGCUCAUAAAGAUAUGGGACAAAAUGGGAAGUUAAGCAGCAAGCGGGGAAGUUGAGUGGGGUAAGUGUUAAGCUUUGAACAAAGAAGUUGUUUCUUUCAAUUUUGACAAAUUGAAGACUAAGAAGACAAAGAAUACAGAAGAUAACAAGUACUAGAGGAGGAUGUUGUAAUGUUGUUUACGCCGUUUUGGACGCCAUGAGGAGCCGUUUAAUGUUAUUGAUGCUAUUUGACUUAGGAUUUUCUCUUGAGAAUAUAUUUAAAAAAUUAUAAAUAAUAUAUACAGUCAAGGUUGGUCAGGGUCAGACCGACCCUAAACUUAUAAGAUUGAGGAUUAACCCACACGGUAUUUGUUUAGGGAUCAUAGGACUAAGGAUCGACCCAAUCUCCCUAAGAACCGAACCAAGACCAGCAAUGUUAGGUUGGUCCAGGGUCAUCCAAGGUUAACCCUGGAUUGACACUCACCCUUAGCAAGCCAUGAUGUCUUUCCAAGAAACAAGGCAAACAAUCAAAAUAUUUAUUAUCAACAGAACCUAAAUAAUUAGUUGAAAUCAAAGACCUUAAUCUAAAUGAAGAACCAUUAUCUAAUUGAGAAUGCUAGUUUCAAAUGAUACUAUUGCAAUAAACCCCGCGAAAGAGUAUUUAAGGAAACAAGCUCAAGGAGGCAUAUUCUAUAGCAUGUCACAAUGGUUUAUCCUGUCUGUGAAUCCUACAUAUGAUGUUCAUGAAAAGAGAAAUGAAGUUCACACAAUUAGCCUAUGGAAAUCCAAUUAAUGAGAGCUUGAGAAUUAAAAAUGUGUUAGACAAGGAUAAUGUGGCUGUUGAGAUGUGUCUUGUAUGGCUGACUCUCAUUUGUAAAUUACCCAUUGUGUGAUUAGUAGGUUCACGUGAAGUGAAGGAUUUUAAUUAAAAUGAAUUGAAAUGCGAAGUCAUGUGAUUACAGCAAUUGGAAUACAAAAACUUGGAAUCAAAAUUAGCUAAAGCGACAGAUAUAAUAGAAGUACAAAGGAUAGAGAAGCCAAAAGUUAUUAGACUCUUAAAAAAGGGAACGAAGAUCCUUCAAGAAUUGAGAACAAAUUAUCUAAGAGAAGAAGCCUCUAUGUACCGGCUGUGAGUGAUGGACAUGCAUAUGAACCUUGGCUUCAAGGUUGAUUAUUCCGCUCAAUAGGAUGAUAGGUUGCAAUGAUAGGUUGCAAUUGAUAAUAAUUGGGUGCCAUAUCACCAUAUUAGCAACAAUGCUUACAAUUAUCCAUUAUAUGCACUUUACCAGCUUGCACACAAUAAUUUGUAUAAGGCUUAUAAAGAAACUAAAAGGUGAAGAGUUGAUAUGGAGCAAAUAAGGCCAAAAAUAGACUUGGGAUAUCAAAACAUAAUGGGAACUAAUAAAAAAAUCUCUCAGAACUAGUUGAAAAAUGUCUCAAAACCGGUUGGACCAAUUGAACUAAACUAAUCAAUAAUUGGUCAACGCCAGUCAACAAAAGAGGUUGAUGUGGACUAAUUUUGGAAAGAUUAUAUUGACAAUUCAUUAAAAAGUUUAUGAUUGAAUUGCUAUUAUACAAUAGAUUUAAGAUUUUUUAAAUGAUUUUUCAUGAUUUUUUAGAAUUAAUGAAUGAUCUAACUUGGAAAUAAAUCUAUCCUAUGAUAUCCUUGAUAAUAACCAACAAAAAGAGAUUGAUGCUACUAAUAUUUUCGCUAAUAAGGUUAUGGAGUUUCAAAAAAAAAAAAACCAAAGCUUUUUAGUUUCCUUUUCAAGAAUCAGAGGAUUUUAAGCUUGAGUAAAAAUCUCAAGGUGAGAAUGUUUUCCACAAUAAUGCAAUGAUAUUUCUGGAGAAAAGCCCUUAUCCUGUCAAUGCGAAGGUAAACACAAAUUGACGAGAAAAUUAAGGAGAAUGGGAUAAGAUUAGAUCUAAAAUUGACUAUUUAAAAAAUCAAUUGAUAGAUCGAUCUUGAAGUUUGUUUGGGAUAUUUCUUUUAACAUUGUUAAAGUAAGAAACUUUGUUUGAUUUUCUGGAGUGUGGUUCCAAUUUAUAAUAUAUUUGCUUCAUUAAUUUAUCCAUAAGCUUAAAAUUUGAGAUCGACUUUUGUCCAACAAAGAAAGAAUGAUGCUGACAUCUCCAAUAUGCAUUUAUGGCUUUCAUUCAAUAAAUAUAUUUUCAUAUUUAGAAUUUGAUGUGUUCUUCUUUGAUUGACUUAAUUUAGGAUUUAGUUUAGAAAAAUCAAAAUUUGUCAUUUUUAUUGCCUUGAGUUCUUGAAUUUAUUAUGGUAUCUCAUCUUUGAUUAGAAGAUAUUAUAGAAUUUAGGGGUGAGCAUGGUCCAACUUGAACCAAUGUAGCGCCUAACCCAUAAACCAAUUGACAUAGUCUUGGUCCUUGAAUUUUUGGGAUCGAGAACCGAUCAUGUUGAGUUUGGGACUAAGAAUUGAACCUAUCUUGUGGAUCCAGUUCGGUUCUAGAGGUAAUCCGAGACCAAUCAAUUCUCUUUUAUUUUUUAUUUUUUGUAUUCCUAAGGACAAACAUACUCUUUGAAAUUAUAUAUUUAUCAAUAAUAUGAUAGUGAGCAAUCAAAUGGUGAACACUGGUACGAGUACGAAUCAAAUCUAGAUCUAAGAUAAGAUAAUAACAUAAAUUUUCACUUGCAAAACAUAAUAGACUAUAGAGAAUGAACACGUAAAAUAAAACAAACAACGAGAAGUAGAGAAUCGCGAAAGGAAAGGGAAGAGAAUUAGAGGUAGAAGAGCGAAAAGUAGGGGAAGAGAAUCGAUUACUCACUCAAAUAAGUACAAAGAAAACGAAGAGAUUGCCCCUGAAGAGAUGGAAAUGGACGAUUUCAACAAUGAUCUGAGAUUGAGGAGAGUAAGAUCGAGAGAGAGAAAGACAAAGGAAGAGAAGAGGCACUUAUAGUCAUAUAGUUAGGAUUUGGACAAAAAGAAAAUAGAUAACUACAAGGUUGGUUGGGGUUAGGCCAACCCUAAAAUCUUAAUGUUAGGGAACGACCACACAAUAUAGGUUCAGCAGUCCUAGAUUAGGGAUUAGCCCAAUCCCCCUAAGAACAGACUAGGACUGAUUGAGUUGGGCCGAUCCAAGGUCAACUUAGACUGAUGCUCAUCCCUUUUUAGAUUUAAUUGAUUUUUCUUUUGGGUAUCGCUAUGAUUUUUUUUUUUAUUCUCACUAUUUCCUUGUUUUUUUUCCUUUACUCUAUUGAGUCAAGGCUUAGCAUAUAAGUAUGCACAUUUAUUUACACAUAAUUUAGCUUUGUCUCCUUUGAGUAACAUAGAAAAUCUGGAGAAAUAUCUUUGUGUGAGCUUGUGUGCUGGAUUUGGGCUUUGCCUUUUCGAGUUGAAACUCGUUUUUUUUGUUUCCAUUGCAUCUGCUAAUUGUUGUCAUUAACGUUAUUACCAACACAAUCUCCAUCUUUUCUUUAGGCACUUGAAUCGGUCUUUUUCCAUGUUCAACUUAUGCAUUUGCUUAUAUUGAGUUGCGUCAUCUCGAAAAAUGAUUGAUCCCUUAAUUCCUCUCUCUCGCUCACGUGCAAUGGCCCCUUUGCCCUUAGCCCCUAUCUAGGCAUUGGCCCUAUUCAAUAGGAUGAUUUAUUCUCAUUCCAAGAUUAAUCGAGAAUCUUAUAACCAAGAACUGAACUAGAUCUCCUAUUCAGUCCAAUGGAGCCAAUCACUUUUUUUUCCCAUGCAUUGUGUUAUGGAAAAAAAAAAAGUUGGUCAUCUUUAUUUUUUUAAAGAAAUUAAAAUACAUAUAUGUAAUUCAUCCGAUUGAGUUCUCAACCGGACCACUCGAACACCAAUUAUACUUUUAGGAAUUGACUCCAAACCAACACUCCUAGGAAUCAAUCGAACUGAUCGGUUCGGUCCGGUCAAGGUGGUUACUGAUUCGGGUGGUCCAUUUGCACACCCCCACUGUUCAAGCUUGAAAUUUUGGGCUGAGUCCACUGAUUAGGCCAAAAUAAACUCAAUGGGGGCGCAAACACUAUUUCUCCCUCUCAUUUUCGCCGGAAAAAUUACCAAAAAAGUAUUAAACCCCUUAUACAGAUGCUUAUGUAUUUCUAAACUUUUUAAUUUGACCAAUUUAAUUAUAAAUCUUUUGAUGAUUUAUUAAUGUAUUACUUCCUUCUAGCCAAAUUUGGCCACAACUCGUUAAUAAGACACUAGCUUCUUCUUCUUCUUUUUUGUGAUAUGGCCUGCUGAUGUGGAAAAUUUCAUAGAUUUUCAUUUUUUUUUAAUUUUAUAUGUUUUUUUGCUUUUCAUUUUGUCGUAUUUUCCUCUACUAGUUCACGGCCUCAGAGAUAGGUGAGGGCUAGGACACUCUUGCUGGCCCAAAUUUACCUUGGAAAUCACAACCUUCGCUAGAUAUUAAGAUUGAAUAGUUGCAAGGUCAGUCCAAGUCCUAAUUGGAAGCAGUUCCCUAGUUUUUUGAAUGUGCAACCUAUUUCAUAUAACUUUGAAUGUGGAAUUUACCCUGUCAAUCGGUUUUAGCGUCGAUUCUAGGAUUUACUGAAUUCUCUCUCUUUUUUUGGUGUUUUUUCUUUUUCUUUUUUCACUUUUAGUUAAGUAAAAUGAAAGAGCACAAUAAUAAUAAUAUGCAUUUAUUAAUAGUAACAAUCCAUAAAAGAUUAAAAAUUUAAAUAAAAUAAAUACUAAAAAUUUCAAAACACACAACCGUGGUUCAUUUGUUCCUAGUUCCCAAUUCUCAAUCUAGUUCUUCAAUUUCUAGUUUGAUUCUUACCUAUGGACCAAGAAUCAAAUUGCAUAGUACCAGUUCCACUUCUUUUUUUUGGGAACCGAUAACCGCAAGAAUCUAAAAUAAAGCUGGUUCUUAAGAUUGAUUCGAUUCAAUUUUUGGUUCUACCUUAAACCCAUGCUCACCCCUAUCAAAUAUGAGUGAGAACUCACGUGUCCUCUUCAACCAUAAAAAUGCCCAGCAACACCCUCACCUAGUAGGGUUGCACAAUGGCCUUCCUGGCCCUCAAUAAAAAUAAAGAAAUAAAAAAUGUAAAAAAGAAAAAAAUCCAAAAAAAAAUAUUUUAAAUUUUUUUUUUUAUGUUAAUGCUGGUUGUGCCACGUGGGAUGUGCGACACCCCAGAAUGUCAUGCUUGACACAUGUCAUUUAUAAUUGUGUCAUCUUUUAACUAUUAGCAUGUUUAAGCAUAAUCAAACAUCCAAACUUCCCUUACAAUGAAAAUUGCAUGAGUAUAUUUAUUGAACUUAUGUUUCUUUAUUUAUAUUAAGUAUCAGUUAAAUAACUUUACUACAUUAUUCAAGAAAAAUAAAAAGCACACAGGUCAUGGGAAGGGUCUAGGUUCACUAUCUUCCGCAUUACUUCUUUGCUCAAAAGCCAACUUGUACAAAAAACAAGAUAUAUAUCCCCUAUAAGAGAUUGCUCGAAUUUAAUAAUAUACAUAUGCGUCUUCUUUAAAAUAACAUCAAGAGGUUCUAACUGGUUACAACAUUAAGCAGAACAUGACGUAAUACAUACAUAGUCUUGGGACGAAGGUCGGGUCAACUAGCACUACUACUUCCAUACUAUUCCAAAGGCGAGCCUAUACAUUAACCAAAGCGCCAUCCAAUUUAACGGUCAGUGGCCUCCAACAUCAUCUCUUCCCCUCAAUCUUUGUAUCUAGAGAGACCGUCUUACAAAUCUAGAAAAAAAUAAAACUAAAGGAUGAGUCGAAAUCCAGUAAAUGAGUUCCAGGGAAUACAAAAUAACCUUGCAUGACAAAUGCAUAAGUAAAUAUCUUAUCCUUAACAUCGUGAUGGAAACAUUAAUAAGAUGCAUAAUUUCUUAAAAAAUUGCGCCUCAAAAUCCAAUUUGAUUCUUCCCUAUUAAACUUUUUGCACCGCUUUUUAGAAGUCGUUGUCUAAUCCAUAUAAAUUCAUGUGAGUUGAUGUCGAAUCAAUCAGUGAUCCUAGAGAUCUCGUUGCAAAGUUUAUUUGAUUAUUGGUCGCAAAAAGCAUGGCCAUGGCUAGGUGACCUCGCCUAGGCCACCUACUAGGCUGGCGAGGGUUGAGAGGCUCAAGGUCGAAGGGUGUGACCUUUAGUCUGGGUGAGCCUUAUCGGUCAUGGGUAGAUCGCGGCCUCAUCAUCGCUGGGCGAGGCUUGCCAUUGGACGACAAGGCUGACAUCACCGAUGCUAGUGUUAUGGUCUGUGAAUCCUCCCGUACUCGUGACCUUGUGAGUGGUGCUUGGGGUUAUCGGGUGAAGAAUGAGGAGGCAGAGGGGACGAACACAACUAGUUCGUGGGAGUGGUGUCAGAACGGUUGGUGCUAGGAGUUCUAGGAUAGAAGGAUUAUAUCACUUAGGAGCUCUGAAAGCAGAGUAGGCCUCCCGUGCACAAACUGGUUGGGAGCUGAUGCCGCUCUCCUAACGAAGCCAUGGCAGGCCGAAACCAGUUGUUGAACCUAAAUGGAUCUACUAUCUCAUUCGAUGGACUUGAUGCCUGAGCGAAGCUGGGUGCAGUACGACCUCGUAUAAAGAAGCAUUCACCCUAUUGUUUGCUGGAACAAUUAUAGAAGGAAGGUUGGCCUAGCGAAUUCCGCUUGCCAGGUGCCUCACGGGUUGUUCUGCGACCGAGGAACUCUCGGCCCAUGACAAGUGGUAUCAAAGCAGGGAUCCCUUCAAUAGGUGGGUGAUUCAAGGAAAAGCCAGUGGUCUUCCCGAUCUUAUGAGGGUAGAGAGUGAUCGCUGGGGCCAGGGGGCUUGGACAACGUGCGGCUCUUAACUAGCUUCUGGGAUGACAAUGGGGGCAUAGGAAGGAACCGAAUUGCUCGCUGAAUGGGGAUAACGUUCCUGGAUCAAUGGGUGAAUCUUAAGAAGAGGUCUGCAAUCAUGUUUCCACCAAGGGGACCCUCUGUUGGCUUGCUGAGAUCAGGAGGAGCUUAGUAGGCGAAAGAAGGUGAUGCCAUAGGACUGCAGUUGGCCAGGGGGCCACACUUGUCGGGAAGCACAAGUGACUGGAGAUGCGUGAACAGCUUUGAUCGAUGGAAGCAAGCAAUGGAGUGGCGAGACUAUUCUGUUGGGCGUUGCCAUCUAUUUAAGUCCCAGGGAGUGGCAUUGAUGGUUAAGUGACAGAAUAGCCCGCAACGAGGGCCUUGCGAAAUUGAGUGGGGGAGAAUGUCACGGUCCGUGAAUCCUCCCGUACUCGUGACCUUGUGAGUGGUGCUUGGGGUUAUUGGGUGAAAAGUGAGGAGGCAGGAGGGACAAACACAACUGGUUCGAGAGAGUGGCGUCAGGACGGUUGGUGCUAGGAGUUCUAGGAUAGAAAGAUUAUAUCACUUAGGAGCUCCGAAGGCAGGGUAUGCCUCCCGUACACAAACUGGUCGAGAGCUUAUACCGCUCUCCUGAUGAGGCCAUGGCAGGCUAAAACCAGUUGUUGAACCUAAAUGGAUCUGCUAUCUCAUUCAAUAGACUUGAUGCCCGAGCGAAGCUAGGCGUGGUACGAUCUCGUAUAAAGGAGCAUUCAUCCUAUUGUUCGCUGGAACAAUUAUAGAAGGAAGGCUGGCCUGGCGAAUUCCGCUUGCCAAGCGCCUCACGGGUUGUUAUGCAACCAAGGAACUUUCGGCCUAUGACAUUAACCUCUAGCUUAUUGCCACCAACCAAAGGAAGGAGGAGGAAGUGAAGGACAAAAGAGAAAGAAAAAGAAAAAAUUAAUAAAAAAAUUCGAAUAAAAUAAAAUAUUAUUAAAAUAUUGUCCACAUUAGCAUCAAUCGAAUGGCUAGCGCUGACCAGCCAAAAUAAACCAGAUAAAUUGAAUUUGCACAAUUGCAAAAUGUUUAGGACUGAUUAGCUAAAAUGAAGAUGUUGGACCCGCUAGCUUGAUCACAAAGUUCGUAACUUACUUUGAUUGUCUUGUCGCCUUUCUUGAGAAAUAAUUUAUUAUAUGCACAAGAUACAUCCAUAUUCAAUCUAUUCGAAGUUUCGAUUCUAAUAGAUCCAUUGCGGUAGACAAUUAACAUAUUUUUUAUGAACUAAUUAGUCGGGUAUCAUGCUAGCAACUCCAAAAACCGUGAUUGGAGAUGGAGAGCAAGACAAAAAUUUCAAAAAAUAGAAGGAACGAGCACGUGACAUUUCACAUUAUCAAAUUAAAAAAUCACCUAGAAAGUGUCUUGCGAUCAAGGCUAGACACUCGUUGUUAUGCCAUUUGGCAAAUUAAAUCUGAAAGUAUGUCUCAUCAUGAGCACCUUUUGCCUAAAAGGACAUUAAACAAUAUAUAGUCCAACAUAAUUAAGAUGUAUCACUGCACUUAAUUACUAUACAAUUACAGUGGAGCUUUUUAAGAUAUCCAAAGUGCGAUAACCCUUAAGAGAAGGGUAUCAACGCUAAUCCCAGGUCUGUAGCAACUCUUAGGAUUAGCUAUAUAGAGUUAUACACAUUGUCCACAAUACAUAUACAAAAUACGUAUUUCAUACUUGGUUGAACCUAGCUAAUGGGAGAGGAGGGCGCCGGGGUGUUGGCGGCGGUGCCGCCAAGAAGUUCUUGCUGCGAAAAUCCACCAGUAGCAUGCCACCGUACGCUUUAGCCGCCUCAAAGCAAUCCAUGGGCUUCUGGGGAGGUGCUUGAGGAAUCAGGGGUUGCCUAACCUUCUUCCUAGCGAUACCCUCUUCUAACAUGGCGAAGGCUUCCUCUGCAAUUUUGGCAAGUUCCCGUGAAUGAUCCAUGAUUAGUGUUUACUGCUCUGAUAUCUCGUGCUAUCUAUGAGGCUGUGUUCUUUGUGCUGCUUCUGUGUGGUGAAGAACGAAACCCCCCUGGCCCUUUUUAUACCUCCGACUUCUCUGGAAAUAAGGCAAUAAUUCAAAAAGGAAAAGGCGAGGGUGAUGAAGAACCUGAAGAGAUAAGAGAUUUAUGCAUUGGUUUACCUUUCGGUGGCAAACCACGUUUCGCAGAACAAAUUCGUUGAUAUCUAUCCGGUCUUCUUUAUGCGUUGAAGGGAAUAAGACAUAGUCCUGAUCUCAUGGGGUGACGUGAACGAGUGACGAAAGACACGGGUAACGUGACCAUAUGAUCUUGUUUGUGGAAGGAAUAUAGGGGCAAGACUCACAAUUAUCCAGACCUAGCCCGUGUCAUAAAUCGAAUCAUCCAAACCAUAAUAGAUCAUUUUUUUAAAUUGGGUUGACCUUUUCUUUUUUACCUUGUUCUUUUUCUUUGAAAAAUGAGCCAUUUAUUUAGGGUUUAAAUAUUUCACGUAAUAAAUAAAUUUAUCAAAUUAAUAACUGGACAAUUUACUUAUGAUAGCUUCUAAACAACCGUUUGCAAAUUAAUGAUUUAACAACGAGUGUCUAGCCUUGAUCAUAGAAGACAGUUCUAGGUGAAUGUUUAAUUUCAUCACAUGAAAUGUCAAGUGCUCGUUCCUUUUCUUUAGCAAAAUUUUUGUUUUGCCUGCUCUCUCCACCUCAGUUUUUGGAGUUGCUAGCACGGUGCAUGACUAAUUAGUUUAUGAAAAAUAUGUUAAGGAUAUACCGAAAUAAAUUCAUCAUAUUCGACUGUUCAAAUGGAUUAAAUAUGAAUGCAUUCAAUGCAUAUAAUAAAUUAUUUCUCAAGGAAGGUCACAAGACCACCACAAGUUAAAAACUCCAUGAUCAAACUUGCGAUCCAGCAUCUUCUCUUCGUUCUCUUUUUUUAAUGCCUAAUUUUAUUCACUUACUUGAAUGGAUACCGAGUAAUUGCUGUAUGUUCUCCAAGAAUAUUGCGGGCCGGUACUUUUAGACACAUGAUAGUUAUUAAAAGAGUGCUGUUAAGCUAACCGCACCGUUAUUCCUUGCAGAUAAUGGUGCCUUUUUUUACCACACAUUUCCAUUGAGAUGCAAUUGGCAACCGGAACCUACAGAAUAAAGAGACAAUGAGCAAAUAUGGAAUCAUUGAUUGCUUUUGUUCCUCUCUAGAAAAAAAAUAUAGUUUGAUCCGUAUCUCCUCGGCACCUUGACUAACCAUCAUUUGGAACUUCCAUUUAUUUGCAAAAGUGCUGUCUAAUAUCUUUUUGACGAGGAUAUAAUUGGUUUUCGGGUGUUGAAUUACUGAGCAAUAAAUCAUUUCUGUAAUAAUUUGUUUUUGAGUUGAUAUUUAUUUAUUCAACAUAUACAACAAAUAUAAAUUAAGUUUCAGGCUUCCGCAUUUUAGAGUAGGAUGUCUUUGGGAUUCCUAUUUGAAAACCCAACUCGAAUCUAGGAUAGGCUCAAUUUUCGUUUAGGAUUAUUUCAAGUUUGAAAUAAGGUCGACCUCCCAAAUCCACUUCGUUGCGAUAUUUGACUAAGAUAAAUUAGUAGAAGAUUGUACGCAUUUUAUGCUAAAUUAAAUUGAAUAACUUAGUUUAAUUCAACAACUUAACAUCCAUAUAAGUCUAUUCGUAUGAGACAAGUUCAAGGAAACGUAGUAAUCGCAUAUGAAGAAUUAUUCUGAAGGGCGAGAGAAAUGUUUUUAACUGUCAAUUUCAAUAUAUAUAUAUAUAUACAUAUAAAGAUAAACGGAAUUUCAUAUAUUGCAAUUCAUGUAAUUAAAUGAUGAUCUCGCAUAUUAUGCUGCGAAAUGUUCUAUUGAUGAUAUAAAAUGAGACACCUCAUUGACUAUUGAUGAUAUAAAAUGAGACACCUCAUUGACUAUGCACAUGAUCGUAAUUACAUUUCACAAAGUGUUAAUUUAGAUAAAUUUUAACUAUAAUAAUAUAGUAUUCAUAUGUAGGUGUAUUGGCCAUGAUCAUUAAGGAUUUUUGUUUAAUUAAGCGUAAGCUAAGACUAAAUAACCAUCUGGAAGCUAUAGUGUUUUAAAAGGCCACAACUUCCUUGAGACCAAAAGAGCAAGUUAUCAUAUUCUUAGGCAAUAGUUACGCGGUCAAUAACGAACCAUUACUCUACAAAAUGUGAUGGGACCAUCUUGCUCGAUAUAUGUAUAAAAGAUUAUUGUUAAGAAAAAUAUGCAUACACAAUACCAUCUUCAUUGAAUUCAAUUAUACUUAACACAUAAUAUAGUAGAUAAUGUUGUUAUCUAAAUAAUUGAAUAGAUGCAGAUCUAAUAAUCUUUUAUGCUGAUUAUACUUAUAGGUAACACACAAUGGAGAACGUGUUAAUGGAAUCAGUUUUCUAGGAGGUUUGUGUUGAAUGUGAUUGUAUUGUUUUAUCUGAGGAUACGCUUGUUGAAUGUGAAGAAUGUUGUGACAGGAUGAGCUAGUCAUCAUUCUUCUGGAAAAUAACGGACCGUCAACCAAUCAUUUCUGGAAGAAAAUUAAGCAAAAAAAAAAAAAAUAGAGCUUAUCAGAAUGAAGAGAAGAUGCUGGAUUCGCCAGCUAGAUCACAGAGUUUGUAACUUACUUUUGUUCGUCUUUUUACCUUCCUCGAGAAAUAUUUUAUUAUAUGUAUCGAGCAGCAAUUCAUAUUUAAUCAAUCUGAACUGUCGAAUCUAAUAAAUCCAUUUCAUUUUGAUACAUGAUUAACAUUUUUUUAUAAACUAAUUAGUCGCAUAUCAUGCCAGCAACUCCAAAAGCUGAGGUGGAGAGAGAGCGCAAGACAAAAUUUUGAAAAAUAGAAGAAGGAAUGAAAAUGUCACAUGAUCAACCCACCUGUGGAUAGCGCAGUUAGUUGAGAUCUAUCCUUCUAGCGCAUGGAGGUUAAGAGUUCAAAACCCUGCGUUGUUAGCGAUUAAAGCGAGAGGCCCUAGCGGUGGGUUGCUGGGCCAGUUUCUCCCGAGAUAUAUUGUUUGGCAAAUUAAAUCUGGGAGUAUGUCACAUCAUGAGCACCUUUUACCUAAGGGAGACGCUAAACAUUAUAUAGUCGAACAUAAUUAAAAUUUAUUACUACACUUAAUCACUGUUGAAUUACAACAAAGCUUCUUAGGACAUCCAAAGUGCCAUAACCCUUGAGUGAAGGGUAUCGACGCUAAUCCCAGGAAUGCAGCAACUCUUAGGACUAGCUAUAGAUAGUUAUACAUAUUGUCCACAAUACAUAUACAUGAUACGUACUUCAUACUUAGUUGAACCUAUCUAAUGGGAGAGGAGAGCGCCGCGGCAGUGGCGGCGACGAGAAGUUCUUGCCAUGAAAAUCAACCAUUAGCAUGCCGCCAUACGCUUUAGCCGCCUCAAAGCAAUCCAUGGGCAUGUGGGGAAGGGCUUGAGGAAUCAGGGGUUGCCUAGCCAUCUUCUUGGCCACGCCCUCUUCUAACAUGGUGAAGGCUUCCUGUUCAAUUUGGGCAAGUUUGCGUGCAUAAGCUAUGAUAAGUGCUCUGAUACCUCGUGCUAAACUGGCGACUUAGCGAGUGAUCUAUCUAUGAGGCUGUGUUCUUUGUGCUGCUUCUAUGCAGUGAAGAACGGAACCCGCCCGUGGCCCUUUUUAUACGUCCAACUUCUUUGGAAAGAAGGCAAUAAUUCAGAAGGGAAAAAGCGACGGUGAUAAAGAACCUGAAGAGAUAAGAGAUUUAUGCAUUGGUUUUACCUUUGGUGGCAAGCCAUGUUUGGCGGAACAAAUUCGUUGAUAUCUAUCUGGUCUUCUUUAUGCCUUUUAAGAGAAAAGACAUGCCUCUUCUGAUCUCAAAGAGGCAUGAGUGACCAAUGACGUGGGUAAUGUGACCACAUGAUCUUGUUUGUGGAGAGGAUAUAAGGGCAAGAUUCAGAAUCAUCCACUGUAUGCACGGUCCAGACCUAGCAAUUGGGCGGGUUUGGACGAGUCCAGGCUGGGGUCUAACACUGGUCAGUAUCAUAAAUCAAACCACCGAAGCCAUACUAGAUCCUUUUUUAAAUCGGGCUGACAUUUUCUUUUUAGCUUGUUCUUUUUCUUCAAAAAAUCACCCAUACAUUUAGGAUGUAAAUAUUUCGUGUAAUAAAUAACUUCGCCAAAUCAAUAACUAGAAAAUUUACUUAAUAUAGCGUCCAAACAACCGAUCACAAAUUUAUGAUAGCUUCUAAAUAACUGCAUAAAUAGGUCGCUAGGCAUGUAAUGAUAACAAAUAACUAGAAAUUCACUAACUUUUGCAAUCCAUAUAAUUAGAUAAAAUAAAAUUUUUAAACAAGACAGUCUAAGACCAUAGUUCUAUAAGGAGUGUCAUUGAAAGGUAAUAUCGUUCCGAGUUUUAUAUUAUUUGACCAAUUCUAGAAAUACUACGACUUAUCCAGUAAAUAAGUUUACUUAGAGACCGUGUGAAGUAGAUCUUUAAACAAGUAGGUAUGUUAUGAGCACCCUACAAAAUUUUGCCCGAAAAAUUAUCAAAAAAAUCCUACACAUAUUGCAACUUUUCCAAUUUAGUCAUAAAUAUAUUUUUUAGCCAUUCGGUUAUAAACCUUUCAAUUCAAUCCAUUGAACCGACGUUUACGUCGAUAAUAUUUUAAUAAUAUUUUAUUUUUUCAAAAUUUUAAUUAAUUUUUCUUUUUUCCUUCACUUUCUCCUCCUUCCACCUGUUGGUCGUCGUUGCGAUUGGCUAGAGGCAGGGCCAGCAAGGGACCUCGCCGGCCUCAAGAAAGCAUGGCCAUGGUUGGGCAACCUCACUUAAGCCACCCACUAGCUGGCGAGGGUUGAGCCUUGCUAAAGGCUCAAGGUCGAAGGGCGUGACCUAGCGAGGUCCAAGGCUGCGACCUCUAGUCUGGGUGAGCCUUAUCGAUCAUGGGUAGGUUGCAGCCUCACCAUCAUUGGGCAAAAGGUUGACCUCGGCAAUGCUCGCCUCUGGCCAAUCACCACCAGCCAGAGGAAGGAGGAGGAAGUGAAGGACAAAAAGAGAUAGAAAAAGAAAAGUAGAGAAAAAAGAAAAAAAUUAAUAAAAAAACUCAAAAAAAUAAAAUAUUAUUAAAAUAUUGUCCACAUUAGUGUUAGCCAAAUAACUGGCACGGCUAGCCAAAGUUAGCUGUAUAGACUGAAUUAACACAAUUGUAAAAAGUUUAAGAAUGAACGGCUAAAAUGAAGAUGCUAGACUCACCAGCUUGAUCAUAAAGUUCGUAACUUAUUUUGAUCAUCUUGUCACCUUUUUUGAGAAAUAAUUUAUUAUAUGCACAAUAUACAUCCAUAUUUAAUCCAUUUGAAGUUUUGAUUCUAAUAGAUCCAUUUCAGUACACGAUUAACAUAGUUUUCAUGAACUAAUUAGUCGGGUAUCAUGCCAGCAACUCCAAAACCGAGGUGAGAUAGAGCACGGGACAAAAUUUUUGAAAAAUAGAAGAAGAAGGAACGAGCAUGUGACAUUUCACAUGAUCAAAUCAAAAAAUUCACCCAGAAAGUGUCUUGAGCGAUCAAAGCUAGACACUCGUUGUUAUGCCAUUUGGCAAAUUAAAUCUGAGAGUAUGUCGCAUCUCGAGCACCUUUUGCCUAAGAGAGACAUUAAACAUUAUAUAGUCCAACAUAAUUAAGAUGUAUUACUGCACUUAAUUACUAUACAAUUAUAGUGGAGCUUUUUAAGACAUCCAAAGUGCGAUAACCCUUAAGAGAAGGGUAUCAACGCUAAUCCCAGGUCUGCAGCAACUCUUAGGAUUAGCUAUAUAGAGUUAUACAUGUUGUCCACAAUACAUAUACAAAAUACGUAUUUCAUACUUAGUUGAACCUAGCUAAUGGGAGAGGAGAGCGCCGUGGCAGUGGUGGCGUUGCCGCCAAGAAGUUCCUGCCGUGAAAAUCCACCAUUAGCAUGCCACCGUACGCUUUAGCCGCCUCAAAGCAGUCCAUGGGCUUCUGGGGAGGUGCUUGAGGAAUCAGGGGUUGCCUAGCCUUCUUCUUGGCGAUGCCCUCUUCUAACAUGGCGAAGGCUUCCUCUGCAAUUUUGGCAAGUUCGCGUGAAUGAGCCAUGAUAAGUGCUUGCUGCUCUGAUACCUCGUGCUAUCUAUGAGGCUGUGUUCUUUGUGCUGCUUCUGUGUGGUGAAGAACGAAACCCCCCUGGCCCUUUUUAUACCUCCAACUUCUCUGGAAAUAAGGCAAUAAUUCAAAAAGG